This 448-nucleotide long non-coding RNA is filed under the name Elaeis guineensis (African oil palm). RNAcentral's name for it is "long non-coding RNA (EGUI_LNC046005)". Lineage: Eukaryota; Viridiplantae; Streptophyta; Magnoliopsida; Arecales; Arecaceae. The record is from RNAcentral.
GUGUCUAUUAUCAUUAUAGUAAUAAUCAGUAUUAGAGAUAAAUUACAAGAGUUAUUUUGCAAGUGUGAAGCAAUAGCAGGAUGCAAAAAUUACAUCUGCUAAUGAUUUGUAUAUGAUACACACUAAUUUAUCGUUGAGGGCUUCAGCUUUAAAAUUUUGAGUAUGUGAUACCUUAUAUAAGUUCUACUUAUGCAAUGUAUUGUCCAACCUAUAAAGCUGAAGAUAGGUAACUACAUACUUUUCGCACUGAUAGAUAGUCUGAAGGGAAGGAAACAGUUUUCCUCCAGAAUGCCCAGGUUGCAUCUAAAAUUUUUUCUAAUAUUUUACUUAUUUAAGGAUCAAAUCUUUACCUGAAUUAUAGUGGAACCAGGAAUUAAAUCUCAAAUUAUCUGAUAUAAAUCUUUGUGGAGGCUUGGAUAUACAUACCCUCUACUUCACAUGCACGUCA